GCAAGUCUGCAAUAUUUCAUAAGAGAACAACACUACGCUAUACAACUACAGAUGUAUGUUUUAUUCAAAAAUAUUGUAGGAAGGCAACCUAUAACUGCCAACAAAAAGUUCCAUGCAAUCCAAUCAUAUUGUAACUGUAUCCAUCUACUAAAACUGCCACCAAUUGUAUACCCCUACUUACCAGCAAAAGCUGCUGCACAGUUCAACUCGAUCAGUUGCAGAAUUACCUGGUUUUUCUCCCCAACUAACAAUGAUACUUUAAAAAGCCAUCUGG
Molecule: unclassified non-coding RNA, 274 nt
Filed under: Hevea brasiliensis (rubber tree)
Lineage: Eukaryota; Viridiplantae; Streptophyta; Magnoliopsida; Malpighiales; Euphorbiaceae
Source: RNAcentral